GCCGCUAUGGUGAAAUUGGUAUACACUGAGCUUUCAAAAAGCUCCGACUUUAGGUCAUAUCGGUUCGAAUCCGAUUAGCGGCA
RNAcentral lists this transfer RNA (83 nucleotides) under Chlorella sorokiniana. RNAcentral's name for it is "tRNA-Leu". It matches the Rfam family "tRNA". From Rfam's summary of the family: Transfer RNA (tRNA) molecules are approximately 80 nucleotides in length. Their secondary structure includes four short double-helical elements and three loops (D, anti-codon, and T loops). Further hydrogen bonds mediate the characteristic L-shaped molecular structure. tRNAs have two regions of fundamental functional importance: the anti-codon, which is responsible for specific mRNA codon recognition, and the 3' end, to which the tRNAs corresponding amino acid is attached (by aminoacyl-tRNA synthetases). tRNAs cope with the degeneracy of the genetic code in two manners: having more than one tRNA (with a specific anti-codon) for a particular amino acid; and 'wobble' base-pairing, i.e. permitting non-standard base-pairing at the 3rd anti-codon position. Lineage: Eukaryota; Viridiplantae; Chlorophyta; Trebouxiophyceae; Chlorellales; Chlorellaceae. The record is from RNAcentral.